GACGAACGCUGGCGGCGUGCUUAACACAUGCAAGUCGAACGGAAAGCCCCGGCUUUUGUGGGGUACUCGAGUGGCGAACGGGUGAGUAAGACGUGAGUAACCAACCCUCGACUUUGGGAUAACUACAGGAAACUGGGGCUAAUAACUGAUAGAAGCUACUGCAGCAUGGCGGGGGGGGGAGAGUUUCGGCGGUUGGGGAAGGUAUCGCGGCUAAUAAGCUGGUGGGUGGGGUAGUGGCUUACCAAGGCGUGGACGGGGAGCCGGCCUGGGAGGGUGACCGGCCACAUUGGGAUUGGGAUACGGGCCAUACGCCUACGUGAGGCAUCAGUGGGGGAUAUUGCACGAUGGGCGGAAGCCUUAUUGACCAACUCCGCGUUGGGGAUGACGGCCUUCGGGUUGGAAACCGCUUCCUGCUAUGACGGAGCGGGAGUGACGGUACCGGAUUAGAAAGCACCGGCUAACUACGUG
RNAcentral lists this ribosomal RNA (468 nucleotides) under uncultured bacterium. RNAcentral's name for it is "partial 16S ribosomal RNA". It matches the Rfam family "Bacterial small subunit ribosomal RNA", at positions 28 to 507 of the family's 1533-position model. The record is from RNAcentral.